UAAAGCUAAAAGAAUCAGCAUUACAAAGGAGAAAACAUCAUACCCUGGGCUACUGACCUAUAAUGAAGUAUAUAAAACUAUGCAUGUACAACGGAGUAAAUAAAACUAGAGAUUAAAAUUCAGAAAUUCUUCUCAUUCAAUAAUCUAGCAUACAAAAGAAAAUGAGAGAAUAAAUGUUAAAGAGAAUGCCGAAGCAACCACUUUCUGCAUUAAAAAGGUUUUUUAAUAGAGAUGGAAAUGGAAUAGGUUUGGUUCAUUUGGUUCAAAGAUUAACCAAAUUCAAACGUAAUUAACUAACAAAAACAGAACCACCGUGAAACAGAAUCUAUAAUCAUCUUACCACAAAAUUCUCCCCAACCUGAUUUUAUUUACCUCAACGACAUCUUAUAUGGUAAACAAUAUUAUGUUUCUACUUUAAGUGGUUAAGCACAAAAUUGUGUUAAAAAUUAUAUGCGCACAAAUGAAAAAUAUUUUCAAAACUCAUGAGUGUUUGAAGUCUGUGUGACUCCUCAAUUAACUUAAUUCCAUUUCCUGAACCAGUCUAAAGGGAAGCAGUAUGGAUGGACCAUCAAAUUAACCAACUUUCUUGCAUCAUAUGCCACACAAAGAUGUGUUUUUUGGUAACGUCAUAAAACCAAGUGUAUUGUCUCCAAAUGUAGAUGUGACAUUGCCUUUGUCAAUGGAUGCAGAAAUUAAGUAAUGCAAACUUUCUAACCCUUUGAUGUUGAACUAUAUUUCAGCAAACUUUUAGGAUCAGAUUGGCUCAGUUUAUUGGCUUACAAUUUGAAUAAUCCCGACUAUCAA
This 804-nucleotide unclassified non-coding RNA is filed under the name Hevea brasiliensis (rubber tree). The record is from RNAcentral. Lineage: Eukaryota; Viridiplantae; Streptophyta; Magnoliopsida; Malpighiales; Euphorbiaceae.